This 820-nucleotide ribosomal RNA is filed under the name uncultured Bacillota bacterium. RNAcentral describes it as "bacterial SSU rRNA". It matches the Rfam family "Bacterial small subunit ribosomal RNA", at positions 17 to 848 of the family's 1533-position model. Lineage: Bacteria; Bacillati; Bacillota. The record is from RNAcentral.
UUAUGGCUCAGGACGAACGCUGGCGGCGCGCCUAACACAUGCAAGUCGAACGAGAGAGAAGAAGCUUGCUUCUUUGAUCGAGUGGCGAACGGGUGAGUAACGCGUGAGGAACCUGCCUCAAAGAGGGGGAAAACAGUUGGAAACGACUGCUAAUACCGCAUAAGCCCACGGGUCGGCAUCGACCAGAGGGAAAAGGAGCAAUCCGCUUUGAGAUGGCCUCGCGUCCGAUUAGCUAGUUGGUGAGGUAACGGCCCACCAAGGCGACGAUCGGUAGCCGGACUGAGAGGUUGAACGGCCACAUUGGGACUGAGACACGGCCCAGACUCCUACGGGAGGCAGCAGUGGGGAAUAUUGCACAAUGGGGGAAACCCUGAUGCAGCGACGCCGCGUGGAGGAAGAAGGUCUUCGGAUUGUAAACUCCUGUUGUUGAGGAAGAUAAUGACGGUACUCAACAAGGAAGUGACGGCUAACUACGUGCCAGCAGCCGCGGUAAAACGUAGGUCACAAGCGUUGUCCGGAAUUACUGGGUGUAAAGGGAGCGCAGGCGGGAAGACAAGUUGGAAGUGAAAUCCAUGGGCUCAACCCAUGAACCGCUUUCAAAACUGUUUUUCUUGAGUAGUGCAGAGGUAGGCGGAAUUCCCGGUGUAGCGGUGGAAUGCGUAGAUAUCGGGAGGAACACCAGUGGCGAAGGCGGCCUACUGGGCACCAACUGACGCUGAGGCUCGAAAGUGUGAGUAGCAAACAGGAUUAGAUACCCUGGUAGUUCCACACCGUAAACGAUGAUUACUAGGUGUUGGAGGAUUGACCCCUUCAAGUGCCG